This 429-nucleotide ribosomal RNA is filed under the name Chloroflexota bacterium. Its description in RNAcentral is "Chloroflexi bacterium partial 16S ribosomal RNA". It matches the Rfam family "Bacterial small subunit ribosomal RNA", at positions 355 to 776 of the family's 1533-position model. The record is from RNAcentral. Lineage: Bacteria; Bacillati; Chloroflexota.
UGGGGAAUAUUGCACAAUGGGCGCAAGCCUGAUGCAGCCAUGCCGCGUGUGUGAAGAAGGCCUUCGGGUUGUAAAGCACUUUCAGCGGGGAGGAAGGCGAUAAGGUUAAUAACCUUGUCGAUUGACGUUACCCGCAGAAGAAGCACCGGCUAACUCCGUGCCAGCAGCCGCGGUAAUACGGAGGGUGCAAGCGUUAAUCGGAAUUACUGGGCGUAAAGCGCACGCAGGCGGUCUGUCAAGUCGGAUGUGAAAUCCCCGGGCUUAACCUGGGAACUGCAUUCGAAACUGGCAGGCUAGAGUCUUGUAGAGGGGGGUAGAAUUCCAGGUGUAGCGGUGAAAUGCGUAGAGAUCUGGAGGAAUACCGGUGGCGAGGGCGGCCCCCUGGACGAAGACUGACGCUCAGGUGCGAAAGCGUGGGGAGCAAACAGG